AAUAAGGUGCCUGAAUUAAAAGGACUAUCUUGAUAGGAUAGAUCAUGCAAGAAAUUGCCCUUAUUA
This 66-nucleotide transfer RNA is filed under the name Clavigralla tomentosicollis. RNAcentral's name for it is "tRNA-Ile". The record is from RNAcentral. Lineage: Eukaryota; Metazoa; Arthropoda; Insecta; Hemiptera; Coreidae.